UACGUAGGGUGCAAGCGUUAAUCGGAAUUACUGGGCGUAAAGCGUGCGCAGGCGGCUUUGCAAGACAGAUGUGAAAUCCCCGGGCUCAACCUGGGAACUGCAUUUGUGACUGCAAGGCUGGAGUACGGCAGAGGGGGAUGGAAUUCCGCGUGUAGCAGUGAAAUGCGUGGAUAUGCGGAGGAACACCGAUGGCGAAGGCAAUCCCCUGGGCCUGUACUGACGCUCAUGCACGAAAGCGUGGGGAGCAAACAGG
This 253-nucleotide ribosomal RNA is filed under the name uncultured bacterium. RNAcentral's name for it is "partial 16S ribosomal RNA". It matches the Rfam family "Bacterial small subunit ribosomal RNA", at positions 524 to 776 of the family's 1533-position model. The record is from RNAcentral.